UGUUGACAAGCGAAAGAUUUCAAAAUUCUCAUUUGUUCACAAGCAGAGAAAGUGUUCGGUGUAAAUUAAACGUCUUAUUUUCCUCAAAAAUAUGAGUUCUAAAAAUAAUUCGCUGUAUUUAUUUGCUCUCUUCUUUACAUUGAUUCAGCUAAUAUUAGCUCAUUGGGAACCUGACUUGGAAAACAGUAAAGAUUUUCUAGGAUGUUUCUUGAAUAUGAGAUAUAAGCCAAUUUCAGUCAACAUUAACACAAAUACCCUUCUAAAGAUAUCUACGCCCACUCCAUUGGAAAUAACUGCCACAGAAUAUGAUUCGACGGUACUGGUUAACACAGGACAAUCGCUUCAAACAACUAACACAAUGCAUAAUAUUGGGAACGCGACUGGAGGUCUCUUACCAGGAACGUAUAUAUACGAUUAGGAUGGACUUAUUAUUGGACUAAGGACUGCUGGAGUGAAAAAACAGGAACAACAAUCAAUGGCAAAGGUUUCCCACUGGAAGUCAGAGUUCUAUGGAGGAAUAGCAAAUACAGCACAUUAUCCGAAGCAGUCAAACACCAAGAUGGCAUAAUGGAGCUACUAUUCGUUUACAAUAUGUGUUCAACUGCGAGCAAACCAUUCGACAAAGUCAUCGACGUGAUCAAAAAAUUAUGUCUAGCUGGGUCAUUCAAAGUGGUCCCUGCCAGUUUACAUAUCGACGCUAGUAAUUUCAUUUCUCGAGAUGGCGAGUACUAUUCUUACUUGGGAUCAUUUCUGGACACUUACACGGGGCUCAAGUAUAAAUGUUCCAGGGUAAUAUUCACCAAACCCAAUGCUGAAUAUUGUAUUACCCCGAAGCAGUUCAAGGAAGCGUUCAGUGAUCUGAGAAAUUUCUAUGGUUUAACUUACACGAACACGUUGCCGCAUGAUCCCUCUAAUGUUCAAGUAUCAGCGGUAGGGGGCGGAAUAAUUCAAAAUUUGCUCACGUGCAGUUGAAAGAUAUUUUGAAUUUUUAAAGAAGUCCAAAAUUUCGCGAAUUUUUAAUCCUAACUUGAUAAUGGGUGCAUUAUUUUAUUGUUACCGAAGUGAAAUUACAAAUUUAUCAAUAAGUAUCGUCGAAUAAUAGGUACUAAGAUUAGUUAUGAUCCUGAAAACAACAAAGAUUAAGAUAAGGUUGAAGACAUAGCAUCAUGUUUUAGUACUUGGUAUAGAUACCUAAAUAAAUCUGUAAAAGCCCAUGUAACAUACAUAGAAAAUCACUUCCAUGGAAAAAAGUAAGUAAGUAUAAUAUUUAUAUAUCACUAAUCAAUUUUUAAAAAUUGCCACUUUUGGCUCAAAAAAUGUAAUUCUGAAACGCUCACGGUCACAAAAGUUGCCAUUUAGUUACUUGGUUGAUAUCUCAGUCCCCAACUUCAGGUUAAUCCCUGCCACAGGUGGUUUGAAAUUUCACAUUUUUGGUCACUGUAAAUUUUGAAAAUUAAAACAUAAUCGUCUUUUCCAAUGUUUUAAUCGUGACAAGUCGUCCUCCUGACAACUUCACACUUUUCCAUUCAGCUAGAAAUCGCCAAGAUAAGUAAUCAAGGGUUCCUUAAAUAUGCCAAUUUGGUUCUCUUACCACAUAUUCGAGAAAUUCUGUCUUGUGGUAUGAAUUUUACAUAAGAGGUGUUUGAGGAUACAUAUUUGACCCCUCCUCAGUCCUUAUUUAUCUACUUCAAAUUAGUCCAUUUACGUCAUUUUUAGCUCAAUGAAAUCAAGGUUUCGGGUCAUCAGGAUGAUAAACCAGUAGUGAUUGAAACUCAAAAGGACGAUUACCUCAUUUCCUAAAAUUUUUCAACGUAGUGGUAAAAUGGCUGAAAAUAAGCAAUUUUAAACCACUUGUGGUAGGGAUUGACAUUGACUUGGCACAGCUGAAAUUUUCAUCAUGUUUAUUUGAAAACAAAUGGUAACAACUGUCUUCAGUUACAUCAAUGGACCUCUUGACUGAGUACAAUGAAUACAAUGUGUUGAGAUUGAGAAAAUAUUUUCCGAGCAUUUGACCUAACGGAAUUCAGCGUACCUUUGAACAAUUAACCUGGCAACAAUUAAAUGAGGAAUUCGAUCAAAUUUUCAAAUAGGUGCUUAAGAUUCAAAGUACCAUCAGCUCCGUUUAAACAAUAUGCCAGCUCAAAACACCAACACUGCAGAUUUGAACCCUGAAAACAUGUCGAUUUGGAAAUUCUCCAGCAUGAACAUUAGUGCAAAAUGACAUACCUCCUGUAGUGCGAUUCGAAGAUGAAUUAGAAUUGAAUUAUUCACCUAUGAUGAAUACACCACAAGAUAUUUCAUGAAUACCUACUGUUUUUUAUUAGAUUAUUCAAGUAAGUAUUCUUAUUUGUUUCUUUCUUAUUUCGGAGUACAUAUUCCUUUUCUUCAUCAUCUUGUUACGUGUAAUCACAGUUAUAGUUUCAUAUUAAGUACUUUCCUUGUUUUUGUAUUAUUAUUUUUGAAAAUUUCUAUUUUCAAUUCAUUAAUUAUAGGUAAAUGAUGUCCACAUAUUAGAUAUUUGUAUUUGUUUGUGAUGCCUCAAAGUAAAUAUUCUCUUCUCUUCUUCCUCGUCUGUUUUUUCAUCUCUUAUCAUCUGGUAAUAUACAUU
Planococcus citri (citrus mealybug) is the source of this 2608-nucleotide long non-coding RNA. RefSeq lists it as uncharacterized. The transcript has 6 exons. The record is from RefSeq and is a predicted model, not a curated record. NCBI's taxonomy places the organism in Eukaryota, Metazoa, Arthropoda, Insecta, Hemiptera, Pseudococcidae.